AUUGAACGCUGGCGGCAUGCUUUACACAUGCAAGUCGAACGGCAGCACGGGUGCUUGCACCUGGUGGCGAGUGGCGGACGGGUGAGUAAUACAUCGGAACGUAUCCAGAAGAGGGGGAUAACGCAUCGAAAGAUGUGCUAAUACCGCAUAUUCUCUGAGGAGGAAAGCAGGGGAUCGAAAGACCUUGCGCUUUGGGAGCGGCCGAUGUCUGAUUAGCUAGUUGGUGGGGUAAAGGCCUACCAAGGCGACGAUCAGUAGUUGGUCUGAGAGGACGACCAGCCACACUGGGACUGAGACACGGCCCAGACUCCUACGGGAGGCAGCAGUGGGGAACUUUGGACAAUGGGCGCAAGCCUGAUCCAGCAAUGCCGCGUGAGUGAAGAAGGCCUCGGUUGUAAG
RNAcentral lists this ribosomal RNA (399 nucleotides) under uncultured bacterium. RNAcentral describes it as "bacterial SSU rRNA". It matches the Rfam family "Bacterial small subunit ribosomal RNA", at positions 30 to 429 of the family's 1533-position model. The record is from RNAcentral.